CACCAGGAGACGAUGGAAGGUCUAUAGUGUUACAGCUCUGACCCAGGAAGUCCCAGGGUCUUGCCUUCCAGAAGGGUCGCGGCUCUUCCCUCCCUCAGUCCAACGAACAGGAGCACGUCACCUCCCGCAGCUCGGGGAGCUGGCCAGGAACGUGUUACAGCCCGUUUCGCUCCUGUCCGCAGCUGGGUGAGGCAGCCAGGAAAAUAUUACAGCUCUUCUCACGCCCGCCAUUCAGCAGGUCCUGACUUCUUGUGUGACAUCCAGAAGAAAGGGGUUACACAGACAGCUGGAGGGUGAGCAAAGUGGAGAAGUUCUCAGCAGAGAGGAGACUGGAGUGAGUUGCCCCUACCCGCAGGUGCCAACUGUAAUACAUCAGUAGCUGAACAGCUCAUUGCCCUCAAGUGUUCUUGCUCAUGCCUGGCUGAGUUAUUGAAGAAAUUGCUCAGAUCUCAAGCCCUUGUAGAUCACUGGUCCUGGCAGAUGUUUCCGCCCAUAUCCUCGACUACUCUUCUUCAGGAAAAGCUUCACAGAGCUGGAGACUGUGUGUUCCUUCUUCAAGCAGCAUCGAUGUUUUCCUGAUGGUGCUCAGUGAAUUCUGACCGCACUCUCUGGAAUCUUACUUUUUCAUGACGCUAGCUGUCUCAUCUCAAGAAAGCCUGGGUGGCUUUCUCUUGAUCUUUUAUUACACAUUUCCUUAUUCCUUAAAAAUAACUCAAAUGCAGUUUUAAAACAGCUGACUCUGAAGCCAGAUUAGGUGGAUCCCAAUUUUGGCUCUUGUGUUUGCUAACUUUAGGACACCCUAGACAAUUUUAUUAAGCUUCUGUGUUUUUCAUUUUUAUAUAAGAAUAAAGGAACAGCAUUUUCUAACUCAUAGGAGAGCUAUGUUACAGAUUAAAUGAGUUAAUUAGCAUUUACACAUUAAAUGCUCUAAUUACCACCUAUGUCAACCCUUUGGAAUACAUGAGGCUGGCUAUUGUCUUUGCAUUUCAUUCUAGGACUGCAUAUGAUAUAAUCCACACUGUUACAUAAUCCACAUUAUUGCAAACAUACAUUAAUUUUCUUCUUUCAUGAAAUUAAAGUAGGAACUCCUUAAGCUUAGCAAAUAGUGCUUUUUCCACUCUGCCUACCAGCCUUUGUCACAAAGGCCUCUUUUUCAUAGUUUACUAAAUAACGGACAGGCUAGCCCAGGAUGUCAUAGACACAUGUUGCUUUGCUGGGGAUAUAUGUCAUAGGCUGUUUUCAUUCAGAAAAUUCAAAACUCAUUGCGUAAUCUUGC
RNAcentral lists this long non-coding RNA (1276 nucleotides) under Homo sapiens (human). Its description in RNAcentral is "HSALNT0303872". The record is from RNAcentral. Lineage: Eukaryota; Metazoa; Chordata; Mammalia; Primates; Hominidae.